Corvus hawaiiensis (hawaiian crow) is the source of this 561-nucleotide long non-coding RNA. RefSeq lists it as uncharacterized. The record is from RefSeq and is a predicted model, not a curated record. Lineage: Eukaryota; Metazoa; Chordata; Aves; Passeriformes; Corvidae. The transcript is spliced from 3 exons.
GAACCAGCAACCCGCCCUGCAGAGAGGAGUCACUGAGCAAACAAGUAAAGAACAAGGCAGCCAAAGGAGAGUUUGAAAGGUUUUCUUCAGAGCAACUGGCAAAAAUCAGCUUCUGAGCAUCUGGCCUUCAGGCACUGCCUCACUGGGUGUGAGCAUGGUCUUGUUUCACCCCUGCACUCCAUGCUGGGCAAAAAUGAUUCUGGUUUGAGGAUCUCUGCCCAAGAAAGCCAUCAACACCAUCCCUGGGCACGUGGCACCUUCACCUGCACCAGUACAUCCCUGCUCCAUACCCAGCUCACUCCCCAGAAGAAACCUCCACAUCCUGGGGACACUCUGGAGAUUGGUAGGGUCCUCACUGAUUCCUGGCCUGCGGAAAUGCCUCUCCUGCCCCAUGGAAACUUCAUGAACAGAGAGAGCAAACCGCCCUUGUGAAGGAUGUGAGGGGACUCGAAGCCAAAACAUACCCACAAUGAAACAGGGAGCAAGAGAACUUGUUGUGUCAGAGACUGGAAGGCUGCAAAAAAAUUGUGGCACUGUUGAAAUGCCAGUAAAGGGAAGGAA